Molecule: small nuclear RNA, 157 nt
Organism: Mesocricetus auratus (golden hamster)
Lineage: Eukaryota; Metazoa; Chordata; Mammalia; Rodentia; Cricetidae
Gene: U1
Rfam family: U1 spliceosomal RNA
About the family: U1 is a small nuclear RNA (snRNA) component of the spliceosome (involved in pre-mRNA splicing). Its 5' end forms complementary base pairs with the 5' splice junction, thus defining the 5' donor site of an intron.
Source: Ensembl
AUACUAACAUAGCAGGGGAGAUACCAUGAUCACAAAGGUGGUUUUUCCAGGGAGAAGCUUAUCCAUUAUACUCUGAAUAUGCUGACUCCUUGAUUGCCCCCAAUGCAGGAAAUAUAACUGCAUUGAUAUUGGGGGACUGCAUUUAUGCUUUCUCCUG